AAGCUUAUCCUUUGCUUGAUAUGAUUCGA
This 29-nucleotide ribosomal RNA is filed under the name Drosophila hydei. RNAcentral describes it as "partial Dhyd\u0008b". The record is from RNAcentral. Lineage: Eukaryota; Metazoa; Arthropoda; Insecta; Diptera; Drosophilidae.